This 469-nucleotide ribosomal RNA is filed under the name uncultured bacterium. Its description in RNAcentral is "bacterial SSU rRNA". It matches the Rfam family "Bacterial small subunit ribosomal RNA", at positions 329 to 794 of the family's 1533-position model. The record is from RNAcentral.
UCCCAGACUCCUACGGGAGGCAGCAGUGAGGAAUAUUGGUCAAUGGGCGGAAGCCUGAACCAGCCAAGUCGCGUGAGGGAAGAAGGCCCUGCGGGUCGCAGACCUCUUUGGACGGGGAGCAAGGCCGCCGACGUGUCGGCGGAAGGAGAGUACCCGUAGAACAAGCAUCGGCUAACUCCGUGCCAGCAGCCGCGGUAAUACGGAGGGUGCAAGCGUUGUCCGGAAUCAUUGGGCGUAAAGAGUUCGUAGGCGGUAUGUUAAGUCUGGUGUUAAAUGCAGAGGCUCAACUUCUGUUCGGCACUGGAUACUGGCAAACUAGAAUGCGAUAGAGGUAAAGGGAAUUCCUGGUGUAGCGGUGAAAUGCUUAGAUAUCAGGAGGAACAUCGGUGGCGUAAGCGCUUUACUGGGCCGUAAUUGACGCUGAGGAACGAAAGCCAGGGUAGCAAAUGGGAUUAGAUACCCGGGUAUU